Molecule: ribosomal RNA, 253 nt
Filed under: uncultured bacterium
Lineage: Bacteria
Description: partial 16S ribosomal RNA
Rfam family: Bacterial small subunit ribosomal RNA
Source: RNAcentral
UACGGGGGGGGCAAGCGUUGUUCGGAAUUACUGGGCGUAAAGGGCUCGUAGGUGGCCAACUAAGUCAGACGUGAAAUCCCUCGGCUUAACCGGGGAACUGCAUCUGAUACUGGAUGGCUUGAGUUUGGGAGAGGGAUGCGGAAUUCCAGGUGUAGCGGUGAAAUGCGUAGAUAUCAGGAGGAACACCGGUGGCGAAGGCGGAUCUCUGGGCCAUUACUGACGCUGAGGAGCGAAAGCGUGGGGAGCGAACAGG